AGGAAAAGAAACUAACAAGGAUUCCCCUAGUAACGGCGAGUGAGCGGGAUGAGCUCAAAUUUAAAAUCUGGCGGCCUCAGGUCGUCCGAGUUGUAGUCUAGAGAAUCGUUUUCCGCGUUGGCCUGUGUACAAGUCCCUUGGAACAGGGCGUCAUAGAGGGUGAGAAUCCCGUCCUUGACACAGAUUACCAAUGCUUUGUGAUGCGAUCUCGAAGAGUCGAGUUGUUUGGGAAUGCAGCUCAAAAUGGGUGGUAAAUUCCAUCUAAAGCUAAAUAUUGGCGAGAGACCGAUAGCGAACAAGUACCGUGAGGGAAAGAUGAAAAGCACUUUGGAAAGAGAGUUAAACAGUACGUGAAAUUGUUAAAAGGGAAACGAUUGAAGUCAGUCAUGCUUUCCGAGACUCAGCCGAUUCUGUCGGUGUACUUCUCGGUUGGCAGGCCAGCAUCAGUUUCGAUCUGUGGAAAAGGUUGGAGGGAACGUGGCAUCUUCGGAUGUGUUAUAGCCCUUCUUCGAAUACAUAGAGCGGGACUGAGGAACGCAGCGCGCCUUUUAUUAGGUUGGCCCUCGGGUACAUACGCGCUUAGGAUGCUGGCAUAAUGGCUUUAAACGACCC
This 612-nucleotide ribosomal RNA is filed under the name Mrakia blollopis. RNAcentral's name for it is "eukaryotic LSU rRNA". It matches the Rfam family "Eukaryotic large subunit ribosomal RNA", at positions 54 to 650 of the family's 3401-position model. The record is from RNAcentral. Lineage: Eukaryota; Fungi; Basidiomycota; Tremellomycetes; Cystofilobasidiales; Mrakiaceae.